CACGUAGGCGGACUAUUAAGUCAGGGGUGAAAUCCCGGAGCUCAACUCCGGAACUGCCUUUGAUACUGGUAGCCUAGAGAUCGGAAGAGGUGAGUGGAAUUCCCAGUGUAGAGGUGAAAUUCGUAGAUAUUGGGAAGAACACCAGUGGCGAAGGCGGCUCGCUGGUCCGAUACUGACGCUGAGGUGCGAAAGCGUGGGGAGCAAACA
RNAcentral lists this ribosomal RNA (207 nucleotides) under uncultured bacterium. Its description in RNAcentral is "partial 16S ribosomal RNA". It matches the Rfam family "Bacterial small subunit ribosomal RNA", at positions 568 to 774 of the family's 1533-position model. The record is from RNAcentral.